GAACCUUACCAGGUCUUGACAUCUAGUGCCAACCUAAGAGAUUAGGCGUUCCCUUCGGGGACACUAAGACAGGUGGUGCAUGGCUGUCGUCAGCUCGUGUCGUGAGAUGUUGGGUUAAGUCCCGCAACGAGCGCAACCCUUAUUAUUAGUUGCCAGCAUUAAGUUGGGCACUCUAAUGAGACUGCCGGUGACAAACCGGAGGAAGGUGGGGAUGACGUCAAGUCAUCAUGCCCCUUAUGACCUGGGCUACACACGUGCUACAAUGGGCAGUACAACGAGGAGCGAACUUGUGAAGGCAAGCGAAUCUCUGAAAGCUGUUCUCAGUUCGGACUGUAGGCUGCAACUCGCCUACACGAAGCUGGAAUCGCUAGUAAUCGCGGAUCAGCACGCCGUCGGUGAAUACGUUCCCGGGUCUUGUACACACCGCCU
Molecule: ribosomal RNA, 429 nt
Filed under: uncultured bacterium
Lineage: Bacteria
Description: bacterial SSU rRNA
Rfam family: Bacterial small subunit ribosomal RNA
Source: RNAcentral